This is a non-coding RNA of Benincasa hispida (wax gourd), 1083 nucleotides long. NCBI's taxonomy places the organism in Eukaryota, Viridiplantae, Streptophyta, Magnoliopsida, Cucurbitales, Cucurbitaceae. The record is from RefSeq and is a predicted model, not a curated record.
UAUUUUUUUUCUUCUCUCUCUCCUCGGUCGUGCGCCCCCCUUCAUUUUUCGUUUUCGUUUUUCUUUUUCUUCAAGAACUGUGGCCCUAGCCGCCACCUAGCUUCACCAUCACCGCCAGCCCAGUCGAGCAUCUCCACGGUUGUGCGUUGCCAGUUGCCGUCGCCGUCCUCUAGCUGCACCUCGCCGCUAGAGUCUUCGCCGAACGCCGCUGCCAUUCCGCCACCGUGAGCUUCGACGAUUCCAACCGAUUUCGAGUCACCGUGAACCGAAGUCGCUAGCCACGCGAUAUGUCCUUCACGCGGUUUAGAGUCAAGUCGUUCCCCGCCGAUAGCCUCUCGCCAGCAGUUCGCGCACGGUCACCCUAACCUCCGAUCGAAGCAGUCGCUCGUUUCAGUCGGCGCUGGACUGAGUUCCGUCGUCGUUCCGUUCAGCCACCGUUGAGUUCGUCGACCGCCACUGCCUAUUCUUGCAAAAUCUUAGAGUUUGAGUAUGAGUUGGUUUAUUUUGGGCAAGAAUUGGGUUUUUCAAGAUUUUUGGGGUGUCACUUUGUGUUAGAAGCAAUUUUGGUUAAUACUCAUUGUGUGGAAUUUGAGGAUUAGGAUUUUGGAAGAUUUUGGGGCUUUGCUAUCAAGGAAGAGACCAUUAUUUUCAACUGUAAGUUUUUGGAGUUGAGUAAGUUUUGUGUAGGUUGAUUGGUUAUCCUUUGGACUUAGACCGGAUUUAUUUAAUCUUGGAUUCACUUUCUAGGCCAUAGUUACUAAACUAAACGGUUAAUGUCACAGGAUUGAUUUGAGUUUUAUCCAAGGAUUGAUUUGAGUUUUAUCCAAGGAUUAUUAAGGUAAGGGCAAGGAUACUCGUGCGACUGACAAAAGAAAUGUCAGCUAAAGGAACUAGAAUAGCUUCCGCAUUUGAAUCUUUAUAUUUUCUCACGUUUUAUCUUGUUAUAUUUUAUUUUAUUUUAUUUUAUUGUCCUCAAUGUGAAUAUUUAUGCAUGCAGUAACAAUUCCCUUCUUAGUAGUCUUAGGAAGUGUGCUUGUUACAAAAAAAAACUCUAAAUCUCAUCUUAUUCAUCUUCUUCACUUA